GUUAAUGUCAAUCCAUCUUCGCUAGCCAAGGGUUACGAUCCACUCCCGCUCUCUUCACCCUUGGCGGAUUGAGAUAAUAUUUCGGAGACACAAGGUAAGGAUUUUUAUUGGUUGCAGUAGAAACUCGCUGCAUCCAAUCAAAAAGCGCCUAUACCAUGAUCACGUGUAAAUGUAGAAAGUGUUUGUAAACAAUUGCCACGUGUUUAUUGUGCAACAAGUCUUUACAUCUAUAAACUUACGACUAUAUUUAGUGACAACUUGAAUGUUUUUAAUCAACUAAUAGAAGUUUCUGUGUAUGUUUCAUGCACAAAUGCAUGAAUGUUGACGUAUAUUUUCGUUUCCGGCUUUACCAA
Molecule: long non-coding RNA, 353 nt
Filed under: Mytilus galloprovincialis (Mediterranean mussel)
Lineage: Eukaryota; Metazoa; Mollusca; Bivalvia; Mytilida; Mytilidae
Source: RNAcentral